GACGAACGCUGGCGGCGUGCUUAACACAUGCAAGUCGAACGCUGAAGCACCAGCUUGCUGGUGUGUAUGAGUGGCGAACGGGUGAGUAAUACGUGAGUAACCUGCCCUUGACUCUGGGAUAAGCCCGGGAAACUGGGUCUAAUACUGGAUGCUACAUGUCACCGCAUGGUGGUGUGUGGAAAGGGUUUACUGGUCUUGGAUGGGCUCACGGCCUAUCAGCUUGUUGGUGAGGUAAUGGCUCACCAAGGCGACGACGGGUAGCCGGCCUGAGAGGGUGACCGGCCACACUGGGACUGAGACACGGCCCAGACUCCUACGGGAGGCAGCAGUGGGGAAUAUUGCACAAUGGGCGAAAGCCUGAUGCAGCGACGCCGCGUGAGGGAUGACGGCCUUCGGGUUGUAAACCUCUUUCAGCAGGGAAGAAGCCACAAGUGACGGUACCUGCAGAAGAAGCGCCGGCUAACUACGUG
This 470-nucleotide ribosomal RNA is filed under the name uncultured bacterium. Its description in RNAcentral is "partial 16S ribosomal RNA". It matches the Rfam family "Bacterial small subunit ribosomal RNA", at positions 28 to 507 of the family's 1533-position model. The record is from RNAcentral.